Molecule: ribosomal RNA, 444 nt
Filed under: uncultured bacterium
Lineage: Bacteria
Description: SSU rRNA
Rfam family: Bacterial small subunit ribosomal RNA
Source: RNAcentral
AGAACGAACGCUGGCGGCAUGCCUAACACAUGCAAGUCGAACGAGACCUUCGGGUCUAGUGGCGCACGGGUGCGUAACGCGUGGGAAUCUGCCCUUAGGUACGGAAUAACUCAGGGAAACUUGUGCUAAUACCGUAUGAUGUCGAGAGACCAAAGAUUUAUCGCCUAGGGAUGAGCCCGCGUAGGAUUAGCUAGUUGGUGGGGUAAAGGCCUACCAAGGCUACGAUCCUUAGCUGGUCUGAGAGGAUGAUCAGCCACACUGGGACUGAGACACGGCCCAGACUCCUACGGGAGGCAGCAGUGGGGAAUAUUGGACAAUGGGCGAAAGCCUGAUCCAGCAAUGCCGCGUGAGUGAAGAAGGCCUUCGGGUUGUAAAGCUCUUUACCCGGGAAGAUAAUGACUGUACCGGAGAAUAAGCUCCGGCUAACUCCGUGCCAGCAGCCGC